GGGCCUUAAACAUGCAAGUCGAACGGUAAGGCUCCAGCUUGCUGGGGUACACGAGUGGCGAACGGGUGAGUAACACGUGGGUGACCUGCCCUGCACUUCGGGAUAAGCCUGGGAAACUGGGUCUAAUACCGGAUAGGACCGCACCGUGAGGGUGUGGUGGAAAGUUUUUUCGGUGUGGGAUGGGCCCGCGGCCUAUCAGCUUGUUGGUGGGGUAAUGGCCUACCAAGGCGGCGACGGGUAGCCGGCCUGAGAGGGUGGACGGCCACAUUGGGACUGAGACACGGCCCAGACUCCUACGGGAGGCAGCAGUGGGGAAUAUUGCACAAUGGGCGGAAGCCUGAUGCAGCGACGCCGCGUGGGGGAUGACGGCCUUCGGGUUGUAAACUCCUUUCACCAUCGACGAAGGGUUUCUGACGGUAGAUGGAGAAGAAGCACCGGCUAACUACGUGCCAGCAGCCGCGGUAAUACGUAGGGUGCGAGCGUUGUCCGGAAUUACUGGGCGUAAAGAGCUCGUAGGUGGUUUGUCGCGUCGUCUGUGAAAUUCCGGGGCUUAACUCCGGGCGUGCAGGCGAUACGGGCAUAACUUGAGUACUGUAGGGGAGACUGGAAUUCCUGGUGUAGCGGUGAAAUGCGCAGAUAUCAGGAGGAACACCGGUGACGAAGGCGGGUCUCUGGGCAGUAACUGACGCUGAGGAGCGAAAGCAUGGGGAGCGAACAGGAUUAGAUACCCUGGGUAGUCCAUGCCGUAAACGGUGGGCGCUAGGUGUGGGUUUUCUUUCCACGGGAUCCGUGCAGUAGCUAACGCAUUUACCGCCCCGCCUCGGGAGUACGGCCGCAAGGCUCAAAGGAAUUGACGGGGACCCGCACCAGCGGCGGAAGCAUGUGGAUUAAUUCAGAUGCAACGCGAAGAACCUUACCUGGGCUUGACAUAUACAGGAUCGCGCCAGAGAUGGUGUUUUCCUUGUGGCUUGUAUACAGGUGGUGCAUGGUUGUCGUCAGCUCGUGUCGUGAGAUGUUGGGUUAAGUCCCGCAACGAGCGCAACCCUUGUCUUAUGUUGCCAGCACGUUGUGGUGGGGACUCGUAAGAAACUGCCGGGGUUAACUCGGAGGAAGGUGGGGAUGACGUCAAAUCAUCAUGCCCCUUAUGUCCAGGGCUUCACACAUGCUACAAUGGUCGGUACAGUGGGUUGCCAGUCCGUGAGGGCGAGCUAAUCCCGCAAAGCCGGUCUCAGUUCGGAUCGGGGUCUGCAACUCGACCCCGUGAAGUCGGAGUCGCUAGUAAUCGCAGAUCAGCAACGCUGCGGUGAAUACGUUCCCGGGCCUUGUACACACCGCCCGUCACGUCAUGAAAGUCGGUAACACCCGAAGCCAGUGGCCUAAC
RNAcentral lists this ribosomal RNA (1381 nucleotides) under Corynebacterium amycolatum. RNAcentral's name for it is "16S ribosomal RNA". It matches the Rfam family "Bacterial small subunit ribosomal RNA". Lineage: Bacteria; Bacillati; Actinomycetota; Actinomycetes; Mycobacteriales; Corynebacteriaceae. The record is from RNAcentral.